AUGAAGACGCCCAUUCAAGCUUUAUUUACGUUCUUGUGGCUGCAGCUGGAAAGGGUCAGCCAAGGAGAGAAUGUGGACCAGCAUCCUCCUUCCUUGAGCGUCCAGGAGGAAAAGAGUUGUGUUAUCAACUGUACUUAUUCAGACAGUUACUCAACCUACUUCUCUUGGUAUAAGCAAGAACCUGGAAAAGGUCCCCAGCUCAUUAUAGACAUUCUUUCAAAUGUGGACAAAAAAGAAAACCCAAGACUCACUGUUUUAUUGAAUGAGAAGGCCAAAUAUCUUUCCCUGCACAUCGCGGCCACCCAACCUGGAGACUCAGCUGUCUACUUCUGUGCAGUGGGCACACAUUGCUUCCCAGGCACCUGCAGUCUGUACUCAAACCUGCGACCGGGGCAGCCCCCUUUUUGUUGA
Equus quagga is the source of this 411-nucleotide non-coding RNA. The record is from the annotation of a RefSeq genome assembly. NCBI's taxonomy places the organism in Eukaryota, Metazoa, Chordata, Mammalia, Perissodactyla, Equidae.